RNAcentral lists this small RNA (103 nucleotides) under Phytobacter diazotrophicus. RNAcentral's name for it is "Salmonella enterica Typhi npcRNA 44". It matches the Rfam family "Salmonella enterica Typhi npcRNA 44". The record is from RNAcentral. Lineage: Bacteria; Pseudomonadati; Pseudomonadota; Gammaproteobacteria; Enterobacterales; Enterobacteriaceae.
CUUUAAAAAUCUGGAUCAAGCUGAAAAUUGAAACGACACACGAAAGUGUGUUCGAGUCUCUCAAAUUUUCGCGACACGAUGAUGUUUUACGAAACAUCUUCGG